UACGAAGGGUGCAAGCGUUAAUCGGAAUUACUGGGCGUAAAGCGUGCGUAGGCGGUUUGUUAAGUCUGCUGUGAAAUCCCCGGGCUCAACCUGGGAAUGGCAGUGGAUACUGGCAAGCUAGAGUGUGUCAGAGGAUGGUGGAAUUCCCGGUGUAGCGGUGAAAUGCGUAGAGAUCGGGAGGAACAUCAGUGGCGAAGGCGGCCAUCUGGGGACAACACUGACGCUGAGGCACGAAAGCGUGGGGAGCGAACAGG
Molecule: ribosomal RNA, 254 nt
Filed under: uncultured bacterium
Lineage: Bacteria
Description: partial 16S ribosomal RNA
Rfam family: Bacterial small subunit ribosomal RNA
Source: RNAcentral